Molecule: RNA transcript, 3238 nt
Organism: Columba livia (rock pigeon)
Lineage: Eukaryota; Metazoa; Chordata; Aves; Columbiformes; Columbidae
Gene: CCDC93
Gene name: coiled-coil domain containing 93
Exons: 23
Source: RefSeq, a predicted model, not a curated record
AGUCAGUCACAUGAGCCGCCGGGGAGCCGCGCAGCCCCCGCCCUCCUUCCCCCGCACCCCUUUGGCCGUGAAUGGCACGGCCCGGAUGCGCUUGUACGCAAGGAGGGUGCGGGCGAACCAUUGAGCGGGGGUGGGGGAACCCGGCAGCCGCCGGCUUGGGAACACCCCUUCGCCCGGGCGUUGCAGCGGAGGGAACGGACGUGACAGGCUGAGCGGCCGGGCGCCGGCUGCCGGAGACGGAGGGCGAUGGUCGUCCCCAGGGGACAGGAGUACCAGGCCCCCCAGGAGGUUGAAACAAGAGAAGAUGAGGAACAAAACAUCAAGUUGACUGAAAUUUUGGAACUGUUGGUGGCUGCUGGGUAUUUUCGAGCAAGAAUCAAGGGGUUAUCACCCUUUGACAAGGUGGUAGGUGGCAUGACGUGGUGUAUCACUACUUGCAACUUUGAUAUCGAUGUUGAUUUAUUGUUUCAGGAAAACUCUACUAUUGGUCAAAAAAUCGCCUUAACCGAAAAAAUUGUAUCGGUAUUGCCAAAAAUGAAGUGUCCUCAUCGUUUGGAACCACAUCAGAUCCAGGGAUUGGAUUUCAUUCAUAUAUUUCCUGUUGUCCAGUGGCUGGUGAAACGUGCAAUAGAAACAAGGGAAGAAAUGGGAGACUAUAUCCGUUCUUAUUCCAUAUCACAAUUUCAAAAAACUCACAGGCUACCGGAGGAUGAUGAAUUCAUGCAAAGAAAAGAGAAGGCUAUCAAAACUGUUACUGAUAUCUUUGAGGUUUACAAACCCCAGAGAAAAUAUAAACGUCAGAAGGGAGCUGAAGAGCUGCUAGAUGAGGAAUCAAGGGUUCAUGCCACGCUUCUGGAAUAUGGCAGGAGAUAUGGAUUUAGCAGACAAGCAGGAAAAACGGAACAGGCCGAAGAUAAAAAAAUCGCGCUACCUCCAGGACUUGGAACAGCAGGAAAAUCUGAGCCUUGUGAUGAAGAUGACCUUCAGGCUGCUGAAGAGCUUCGCAUUAAAACUCUGAUGACUGGAAUGGCUGCAAUGGCAACAGAAGAGGGCAAGUUGACAGCAAGCACAGUUGGCCAGAUUGUUGGACUCCAGUCAGAUGAGAUCAAGCAGAUAGUGUCAGAAUAUGCUGAAAAGCAAUCUGAGCUUUCUGCUGAGGAGCGACCAGAAAGGCUUGGAGCUGCCCAACAACACAGAAGGAAGGUGGCAUCUCUGAAUAAGCAGAUUUUGCAGAAAACCAAACUCCUGGAAGAGUUGCAAGCCAAAUGUGCUGAUCUGCAGGCAAAAUGUACAGAAGCAAAAAAGACAUUAACUGAGGUUAAGAGUUACGGUGAAAAACUGGACAAAGAAUUGGCAGCCUUAGAAACAAUAGAAUCCCAAGCAGAUUCUAGCGUAUUACAGAGUCUGCGAGCACUGGUGGCCAUGAAUGAAAACCUAAAAAGCCAGGAGCAAGAGUUCAAAGCACACUGUAGAGAAGAAAUGGAGAGACUUCAACAAAAUAUUGAGAACUUGAAAGCUGAGGCAGCAGAAAAUGGGGAGGAACAGGAGCCGAAUAGGAUUAUAGAACGACAGUACAAAACUGAGAAAGAGAAACUUCAAAAGAUCCGCCUGUUAUUGGCACGAAGAAACAGAGAAAUAGCCAUUUUACAGCGCAAGAUUGAUGAAGUCCCGAGCCGAGCUGAGCUAACACAGUAUCAGAAGAGAUUUAUUGAACUUUACAGUCAGGUCUCAGCAACUCACAAAGAAACGAAGCAGUUCUUUACUCUUUAUAAUACACUGGAUGAUAAGAAAGUAUAUUUGGAAAAGGAGGUUAACUUACUGAAUUCCAUUUACGACAACUUUCAUCAUUGUUGUCUUUUUUCCUUUCCAGAGCAAUGGCAUCUUCUGGUUCUCGUGAGCAGUUUUUACGGCAGAUGGAGCAGAUUGUAGAAGGCAUCAAACAGAAUCGAAUGAAGAUGGAAAAGAAGAAGCAAGAAAACAAAAUGCGGAGAGAUCAGUUGAAUGAUGAAUACUUAGAACUUCUAGAGAAACAACGGCUUUACUUCAAAACAGUGAAAGAAUUUAAAGAGGAAUGCCGUAAGAACGAAAUACUGCUGUCCAAGCUGAAAGCCAGUUCUUCCUGAAGAAAGAAGGCCAGCUGGUGAAGUUCACAGAUGAUUGUUCAGUCCCUUGAAUCUCUUUUGUGAGGUGACAUUUAUAACUGCAAUGUAGAUAUAUAUAUAUAGAUAGAUAUAUAUAAAAAUAUAUACACACAGCUGUAAAAGCCUGUUCCUUUCCAGUAUGUAUUCAGUUUUACAUUCCUUCAACACAUGGCUGUAUUAUUCAUUAUUGCCUCCAGUACACAGUAAAGAGUUAACGCAGUACAGCAAAAUAGAAUAUUGUCUAAUUUUAUUUAUUGGGGUUUGGUUUUUUGCCCACAGUAAGGACAAUGAGGAUGCUUAUUAUUUGGGUUUUAACACUGAAUUAGGUCGGAAUUCUGGAAUAAAUAGGUAUGUACUGUCUAAUAUGUCCAGUACCAUGACAUGAGCACUGCAGAAUGCAGUGGUUUGUUAAUUUCGGCCAAAAAUGCCCACCACAGUGAGAUUCUUGAAACUCUCAUCAUUAUCUAGUAACUGCACAUUAUUUUAAUUUACACUCUAGACUUAGAUAAGGUUUCAAAGGAUAAAAAUUAAUUUCUAAUGGUUAAGAGAGAAGGAAAAGGAAACUUACCUUGGAUAAUUCUUCAUGUAAAAUUAUAAAUCUAUAUUUUUAUAAAGUCUAGCUGCUGUAUAAAUUUCUUCGAAAUUUCAUUUUUAUAUAGAGAGAGUAUGCUUGUUAAUAGUUUCAGGAAAAAACACCUUUGUCACUAGGACCAUCAUGUUAUCCCUGGCUGGGAUGAAAAUCAAAGUCUGUGUCACCUGUAAUAUGGGAGGAAAAAGUUUCAGACAUUCGGCUCAAAUGAACUGAUGCUCACCUUUGAAGACAACAUCCUAUUUAUCCUGCUGAGGAUUUGCCCUUGGGAGUUAAGAAACUUUGUUGAACACUUUCUGAAACAUUUUUAUAUCUGUAUAUACAGUAUUUUAUAAUUCAAACAGUUUCUUUUUGUACUUAACAUCAGGAUUUUGGACUGACUUCUUAAUGUACAUCACAUCUUCAGGAGAAGAAAAACCAGGUUCUUUUUUCCUCAUAACGCUGAUGCCAGUGCUGAUCCAUUACUUUCUAUGGCAGCGAAUACAAAAUAAAGAAUGUUUGGAAUCCA